Molecule: ribosomal RNA, 465 nt
Filed under: uncultured Thiobacter sp.
Lineage: Bacteria; Pseudomonadati; Pseudomonadota; Betaproteobacteria; Burkholderiales; Thiobacteraceae
Description: bacterial SSU rRNA
Rfam family: Bacterial small subunit ribosomal RNA
Source: RNAcentral
CCUACGGGCGGCUGCAGUGGGGAAUUUUGGACAAUGGGGGAAACCCUGAUCCAGCCAUGCCGCGUGAGUGAAGAAGGCCUUCGGGUUGUAAAGCUCUUUCGGACGGAACGAAAUUGCUUGGACUAAUACUCUGAGUAGAUGACGGUACCGUAAGAAGAAGCACCGGCUAACUACGUGCCAGCAGCCGCGGUAAUACGUAGGGUGCGAGCGUUAAUCGGAAUUACUGGGCGUAAAGCGUGCGCAGGCGGUUGCCUAAGCCAGGCGUGAAAUCCCCGGGCUUAACCUGGGAAUGGCGCUUGGGACUGGGCAGCUAGAGUGCGGCAGAGGGAGGUGGAAUUCCACGUGUAGCAGUGAAAUGCGUAGAUAUGUGGAGGAACACCAAUGGCGAAGGCAGCCUCCUGGGCCUGCACUGACGCUCAUGCACGAAAGCGUGGGGAGCAAACAGGAUUAGAUACCCCGGUAGUC